CACCGCCCGUCACACCAUGGGAGUUGGUUUCACCCGAAGGCAGUGCGCUAACCCGCAAGGAAGGCAGCUGACCACGGUGGGAUCAGCGACUGGGGUG
This 97-nucleotide ribosomal RNA is filed under the name uncultured bacterium. RNAcentral describes it as "partial 16S ribosomal RNA". It matches the Rfam family "Bacterial small subunit ribosomal RNA", at positions 1388 to 1482 of the family's 1533-position model. The record is from RNAcentral.